AAUCAUUCAUAGAGUGUAAAGGCAUAAGGGAGCUUGACUGCGAGACCUACAAGUCGAGCAGGGUCGAAAGACGGACUUAGUGAUCCGGUGGUUCCGCAUGGAAGGGCCAUCGCUCAACGGAUAAAAGCUACCCCGGGGAUAACAGGCUUAUCUCCCCCAAGAGUUCACAUCGACGGGGAGGUUUGGCACCUCGAUGUCGGCUCAUCGCAUCCUGGGGCUGUAGUCGGUCCCAAGGGUUGGGCUGUUCGCCCAUUAAAGCGGUACGCGAGCUGGGUUCAGAACGUCGUGAGACAGUUCGGUCCCUAUCCGUCGUGGGCGUAGGAAAUUUGAGAGGAGCUGUCCUUAGUACGAGAGGACCGGGAUGGACAUACCUCUGGUGUACCAGUUGUCGUGCCAACGGCAUAGCUGGGUAGCUAUGUGUGGACGGGAUAAGUGCUGAAAGCAUCUAAGCAUGAAGCCCCCCUCAAGAUGAGAUUUCCCAACUUCGGUUAUAAGAUCCCUCAAAGA
Molecule: ribosomal RNA, 507 nt
Filed under: Staphylococcus aureus
Lineage: Bacteria; Bacillati; Bacillota; Bacilli; Caryophanales; Staphylococcaceae
Description: partial 23S ribosomal RNA
Rfam family: Bacterial large subunit ribosomal RNA
Source: RNAcentral